CACGCCCUAAACGAUGUCAACUGGUUGUUGGGAAUUUACUUUCUCAGUAACGAAGCUAACGCGUGAAGUUGACCGCCUGGGGAGUACGGCCGCAAGGUUAAAACUCAAAGGAAUUGACGGGGACCCGCACAAGCGGUGGAUGAUGUGGUUUAAUUCGAUGCAACGCGAAAAACCUUACCCACCUUUGACAUGGCAGGAAUCCUUUAGAGAUAGAGGAGUGCUCGCAAGAGAACCUGCACACAGGUGC
This 247-nucleotide ribosomal RNA is filed under the name uncultured bacterium. RNAcentral's name for it is "partial 16S ribosomal RNA". It matches the Rfam family "Bacterial small subunit ribosomal RNA", at positions 796 to 1041 of the family's 1533-position model. The record is from RNAcentral.